Chrysoperla carnea is the source of this 5657-nucleotide long non-coding RNA. RefSeq lists it as uncharacterized. The transcript has 7 exons. Lineage: Eukaryota; Metazoa; Arthropoda; Insecta; Neuroptera; Chrysopidae. The record is from RefSeq and is a predicted model, not a curated record.
AGAAAAAAAUGAAAAAAAUGGUGGGUUGUGGUUAACAUUGUAAAUACUGCUUUGUAACUGUAAUAGCUGAGAGUAAUUCAUUAUCGCAGCGUAAUUUGCAGUAAUCAUUUCGUGAACUAUAUAAAAAUGCUUGGUUAAACAAAGUAAAUUCAACUUCUGAAAAAUUUGGACCAAAUCAGACUGUAUUUUGAAUAUCAUAAAAACCAGAAAAAUUCUGGUUUAUAUUUUGUAUACAUGAUGACAACGAAGCCUAUUUGGAAGCAUAUUCGGAUUUAAAAAAGUAGGUCGUGCAUCGAUCCAUGUGGAUUUCAUGUUUAAAUGGUACAUUACAUGUAUCCUCGACCAUGUGCACGGAAUUUAAGGAACAUGAAUUUUUUAUACGCUCAUUCAGGAGUUGAACGUUUACUGGCACCUACAAGGGCAGCAAUGAUAGAUUGAGUGGAUACGUCAAAAGAUCAAAAUUAACUGAAAUGAAAAUAUUAUCACCAUGAAAAAACAUGUAUAACACAUUUCCCCAAGCUAAGUCGAUGUUAUUGUCAACAAGAGAUCCAACAUCACCAUUGCCUACUCCACCGCCCUUGGUAACACCCUCAAUACCAUCUGGAACUGAAUGUGUUGUACCAACAACACCAAUUCCAAUUACUAAUUUCACUGAUACAACUACUACAAAUGCUUGAAAAUGUUAUCAAAUUACCAAAACGUAAAUGUUAUCGGUGUUAUCGGCGUCAUUUUCGUAAUGAAACUGUACGUAACGUAACCGUCGAAAAAAUAAAUUACCCCAAGAUAUGAUAAACCAUUAAUAUUUAAUGUUAUAACUGAAAAAAUCCUUAAGGAAGAAAGCAUACCUUAUAAUUUUAAAUGUUACUGAGUAUGUCACAAAGAAAUUAAAGAAAAGGAUAAAGACGUAUUAAUUAUACCUCAAUCCUAUAGAGACGCCAGUUUUAACGGUGACGAUAUAUUACCGCAUAAACAAACAAUUUUUCAAUGCACAAAGUGCCCAAUGGUCUAUAAUAAAAAAAUUAAACUAAAAUAUCACGUAAACAUAGGAGACAACAACGAAAAGAACGUAUUCAUACGGUACUAAGCAAUCGUUCGAAAAUGUAUUCAUGCAACUAUUGUAAUUCAGAAACAGUAUAUUCUACGAUCACAGAAUUACGUCAACAUAAAAAAUUACAUAUUACAUCAAUGUGUUGUAGAAUGGGCUGUGGAAUAAAUUUUAAUGCCUCUCUUGAAAGAGAAUUUCAUGAAUCUAUUUGUAACGAACGAUUUUCGACAAAUAAAUUAGAUCAAUUGGUAAUUUGUACCCGGUCUAGAAGUCUGGUUUAGUAUCAACCAGUAAAUGUCCUUCUAUAGACUCUUAUCGAACAUAUCAUAGAUGAAGGAGGAGUUCAGAUGAAAGCUGCGAUUCGAAUUCUUGAAAGACAUCUGUAAAAAAUAAAAGAUAGCGAAAAGUAAUUAUGCGAGAAGUUUCAAUUGGGGUGUUUCAGAUUGUUUCACAAUAACCACAGAUACUAAUGGCCAUAAAAUUGUUAGAAAAUUCAAGUCGAAAUGAAUCAUCAUUAAGAAAUGGACAUCAGUCACCUAACUCUUUAAGAUCAAGUAGACCUAGGACUAGAAAGCAGUCAAUUAAGGAUAUGGACAGUAUGAAAUUAAAUCCAGAAUUUUUCGCGAAAACUAGUUCUGCAUCUAUAGGCUUUCAAAAAAAAAAAAAAAAAUCGUAGAAUCGUACAAUAUUACCUUAACAAUAACAAGCAAGAAAAUAAAUAGAUAAAUAGAUUUGCGAGAUAUGAUGUGGACGAGGUGUUUGAAAUGAGUGUAAGAAAACAUUUACCAACCAGAGUUUAAGGCAACCACUUACGUUUCAAUUAGCCAUAUGUGUCAUAUUAGUCACCUAACUCUUUAAGAUCAAGUAGACCUAGGACUAGAAAGCAGUCAAUUAAGGAUAUGGACAGUAUGAAAUUAAAUCCAGAAUUUUUCGCGAAAACUAGUUCUGUAAUAUAGGUUUUCAAAAAAAAAAAAAAAAUCGUAGAAUCGUACAAUAUUACCUUAACAAUAACAAGCAAGAAAAUAAAUAGAUAAAUAGAUUUGCGAGAUAUGAUGUGGACGAGGUGUUUGAAAUGAGUGUAAGAAAACAUUUACCAACCAGUAAGUUUAUUAGCCCCAGGAAACGCGGUAUUAGUUCACUGGACGGUAUUAGUUGCACAUCGGAAGACUAACAUCGAUCGGUUCGUACUACUGUAUCUCAUAAACUUGGCAUUGGCAUACUUAACUUGAUCAGCUUACAACAGCUGAUAUAAUGAAUGACAAUUCAAUUUACACAUGAGACAACUCAAGCAAUGUCUGAAAUAAGAUCACGGGGAUAUGGUUUAAUUAUUAAGAAAAACAAUGGACUAAUUGUGCGCUAAUCAAAAUGAACAAGAAAUGUAAUGUAUAAUAAAUAGAUUGGUCGCAUUUGAUAAAGUCACCAACAGCAACGAAAAGUAUAAUUGGUCUAGUCAACUUAAAACUUAAUUGAAUGAAGCAUAUAUGCCGGAGAUUUGGGAAGCUCAAAACCCACCUCCGCAAAAGGGCAAUUUCAAUUAAUUUAAAACAACUUUGGUUAUAAACUUCUUAUCAGAGAUAAAGAAAAUACCUUGGAUUCCCGGUUCAGCCUUGUAUAUCAACAUCUUCAACAAACUGAAAGCACACAAUACUUGAAACAUGCGUACAAUUUCAAAACAAUAAAGCUAAUAAGCCAACUCAAGUUAGUGGGAAAAUUCACUAUUAAACUUUGGUUAAACGAAAUUAUAUACAAAUGAAAACAGGAAAACUUAUGUCAGUUAUGAAAAGUAAAAGUUAUGUACAAAUGAAAACUUAUGAAAAUACGUUUAUUAAAAAAUACUUCGCCACUAUAACUAGUAGUUAGGAAUAUUUAAAAUUUAAAUAUUCCGAGUGGUAAUUAAAGUUAAAGUAAGGUCAAAGUCAUUGAAAAAAAAUUUUACACAAGCGAACAAUGGCUUACCUGUUUAAGUACGAUUUAGUUACAAAACAACGAAAUGGAUUUCUUCCAAAAAAAAACUGCAAUCUUGUAAUAUUCAUGGCCAUUCACGAAACUAUUGGAGGAUUAAACAACAAUGAAUCAGUGGUCGGAGUAUUUCUUGAUAAAAGUAAGGCUUUUCAUUGUCCACAUUUAAGUUGGUUUUAAUCUCACCUCAAUAAAAAUUAUGCAGUGCCAAUACAGCCUUCAACAUUAUACAUGUGACGUGCUACAAGGGAGUGUGCUUAGACCCCUUCUUCUGUUAAUAUGUGAACGACCAAGAAACAUAUUAGCACCAAAAUUAUCCCAAUUGAUAACAGUUUCACACUCAAAACACAAAAUAUUUUUGAAGAAAACAUCGUAUCCAUGGAUACUUUUAUCAGAAUACCAAAGCUACCAAAUGGGCAUGAUGAUCCAAAUGCCCUUCCUGCGAUUCGUUGAGUACUUUUAUCUUCUUCGCUUUUUAAACAAUUUUUAUUUAAAAUUCAAUUUUUAUUAUGGUAUCAAGUCUAUUUUUACAUUUGAAUAGGUAAUGUGGCAAAUUCGAUAUCAGUCAUCAACCCUAGUUACUGUACUUCUAUCUCACAAAUUAAAAUCACUCGCUCUCAAACAUCGUAUCAAUGGAUACUUUUGAUCAGAAUACCAAAAAUAUUGCGAAAUAUUAUAAAAUUGCCCUCCUGAUAAAAAGUCUCAAUGCACAUGAUGAUCCAAAUGUUCUUCACACGAUUUUAAAUUCUUGUUAUUUAUUGACAAAAACCAAUUGGAAAAGCUCAUUUUUUGAAAAUAUUAAUUAGUUUCCGAGAUAUUAUACCUAGGUAAAGACGUUCUCGAGAAUAAAUUCCUCUUAACGUAAGCGGUGGCCCUAAAUUUUUAGGAUACCGAAACAAUGAUACAAAAAAAGAAUGUAUAAUAAAUAAAAUAAACUUACUGGUUGGUAAAUGUUUUCCUACAAACGUUGCACGGAAACCACGGUUGAAUAUUAUGUUUCUUAGUUUCAUGCUUAGACACCACGUCCACAUCAUAUCUCGGAAAUCUACAUUUGCAACAGCGAAAAGGACAUCUACUGGUUGAUACUGAACCUAAACGACUUCUAGGCCGGGUACGAACUCCCAGUUGUUCUAAAUCAUUUGUCGAAAAUCGUUCAUUACAAAUAGAUUCAUGAAAUUCUCUUUCAAGAGAGGCAUUAAAAUUUAUUCCACAGCCCAUUCUACAACACAUUGAUGUAAUAUGUAAUUUUUUAUGUUGACGUAUUUCUGUGAUCGUAGAAUAUAUUUUUUCUGAAUUACAAUCGUUUCAUGAAUACACUUUCGAACAAUUGCUUAGUACUUUAUGAAUACGUUCUUUUCGCUGUUGUCUCCUAUGUUUACGUUCGUGACGUUUUAGUUUUUUUUUUUUUUAUUAUAGGUCAUUGGGCAAUUUGUGCAUUGAAAAAUUGUUUGUUUAUAUGGUAAUAUAUCGUCGCCGUUAAAACUGGCGUAACUGUAGGAUUGAGGUAUAAUUAAUACGCCGUUAUCCUUUUCUUCCUGAUCAAUCUCGUGGGCGGUUUGUCGUACCGGUCAGGCUUGCGUAUCGUAAUGACUUUGGAAGCUAAGCCAGCGGUAGAUAGUAUAACACUAUUUACUGGUAGGGACUCCCUUGCUGGAAAGGUUCCAAAUGAACGAUCAGACCAAGAUCCACAAACCCUCUAAUUCAGGGUGUUGUGCGAUCCGUUGCCUAUUGGAUGGUUUACAGCCGGACAGCCGGGGGAAUACCUUAUUCAUCUAAAACAAAACUUCUCGUUUUCAGUGCCUCACAUACAUAGUAGUAGAUACUAUUUAUCUUUUCUACAGAUAAGGUGCUCAGUAAAUCAAUCAUUUGUUGUUCAAGACUAUCUCGGGUGUGGAAAUACUGGUUUAUAAAAUGUUUUCUCGUGGGAUUAUAAAUUGGACAUUCGAGUAAAAAGUGAGUCAGGGUUUCCGAAACCUCGAGGUUGCAUAUGUCAUACAGUUCAUUUUGUCGCCAUUUAUAUAUGCGUAGUUUGAGGCAAUUUUUAUAUGCGUUUUUAAAGUUAAUCGAUUUUUUUUAUAUAUUCCGGCGUACCUUCUUCCGUAAUUAUGAACUGAUACAACGGGCUGAUACUUGAUUCUUUCGUAUCCUCGUAAGAUUCUUUCCGUAUCCUCUAUAAGAGAUCGCUUAUUAAAAUUAUUUAAAAUUUGUAAUAUAUUAGCCCAAUACGUUUUUCGCGUUUUAAUUUUGCUAAACGUGACCCAUGUCCAAUCUUUCCAAGAUGUCUCUGAGAUGAUUUGCCCAAAUGUAUUUAUUAUCCAUACUCUUAUUUUGAUCAAGAUUUACCAACCGGUCAUAGCAUAUUUUCACGAUACAUUUUUCGUUAAUUUUUAAAAUUUUUAAACACCAGUAAAUCAUUCUUUUUUAAGCAUCUACGAUUAUGCGUUCUUUACCAGUUUUAGAUUUGAUUAUGUAAUUGGGUGUGCAACGUUGCCAUUUAAAGACAGUUUUAAAAAAAAAUAGACUAAACACCAAGUCUCAGCACCACAUAAUUGUUGAAUAUUUAAAAUCAAUCUUCAAAAAUAAAAUUAAUUUUUAUUUAUUUUAAAUAACAUGUUAACAGAACAUUGUCAUUAAUAAUUGUCAUAUCAGCUCU